RNAcentral lists this ribosomal RNA (441 nucleotides) under uncultured bacterium. Its description in RNAcentral is "partial 16S ribosomal RNA". It matches the Rfam family "Bacterial small subunit ribosomal RNA", at positions 338 to 795 of the family's 1533-position model. The record is from RNAcentral.
CCUACGGGAGACAGCAGUGGGGAAUAUUGCACAAUGGGGGAAACCAUGAUGCAGUAACGCCGCGUGAAGGAAGACGGUUUUCGGAUUGUAAACUUCUGUUCUUAGUGAAGAAGAAUGACGGUAGCUAAGGAGCAAGCCACGGCUAACUACGUGCCAGCAGCCGCGGUAAUACGUAGGUGGCAAGCGUUGUCCGGAAUUACUGGGUGGAAAGGGAGCGCAGGCGGGAAGCCAAGUCAGCUGUGAAAACUACGGGCUUAACUUGUAGACUGCAGUUGAAACUGGUUUUCUUGAGUGAAGUAGAGGUUGGCGGAAUUCCGAGUGUAGCGGUGAAAUGCGUAGAUAUUCGGAGGAACACCGGUGGCGAAGGCGGCCAACUGGGCUUUAACUGACGCUGAGGCUCGAAAGUGUGGGGAGCAAACAGGAUUAGAUACCCCUGUAGUC